ACGUAGGGGGCGAGCGUUGUCCGGAAUUACUGGGCGUAAAGGGUGCGUAGGCGGCCUUUUAAGUUGGAUGUGAAAUACCCGGGCUUAACUUGGGGGGUGCAUCUAAUACUGGAGUGCUAGAGUGCAGGAGAGGGAAGGGGAAUUCCUAGUGAUGCGGUGAAAUGGGUUGAUAUUAAGAGGCAGACCAGUGGCGAAGGCGACUUUCUGGACUAUAACUAACCCUAGGGCACGCAAGCGUGGGGUGCAAACAA
RNAcentral lists this ribosomal RNA (251 nucleotides) under uncultured prokaryote. RNAcentral describes it as "partial 16S rRNA". It matches the Rfam family "Bacterial small subunit ribosomal RNA", at positions 525 to 775 of the family's 1533-position model. The record is from RNAcentral.